Molecule: long non-coding RNA, 533 nt
Filed under: Homo sapiens (human)
Lineage: Eukaryota; Metazoa; Chordata; Mammalia; Primates; Hominidae
Description: non-protein coding MINCR:2
Source: RNAcentral
GAGGGGCACACUCUUUCCGGUUUGCUUCCGGUUUUUUCCUCAGGCUUCCGGUCUGUUUGGUGCCCUGGUCGCGUGUCUUCCGAACUCUGCUGCUUCGCCCCGGCAAGAGCACUUCCUUCCGCGGCUGCUAAAACUGGUGCGCGGGUUCCCAACUUCGCAGAAGAGCUUCAUCGGCCCCCCGCUAGAGACCUCAGACCGCAGCCAUCGACGCCUCGCCUCGGGGAUCUGUCCCCACCCUCGGGGCCAGCUCACCAUGAGUCAGGCCCUGUGCUAGGUGCUGGGAUGAAGCAGUGACUGACACAGGCCUGGACCUGUCCUUGGGAAGAGUGCGUCUGUGACACAGAUACUGUGCCAUGUGGCAAAGUAAGCGCGUGGGACAGCAGAGCCUUGUUUGCCAUUAAAGUAAUAUCACAAGUCUGUUAAGGUUGGAGAAUCAAGUGAACAUGCUGAAAAGUUAUGGGGAAUGUAGUCUCAUAGCUGGGGGAGCUGGGGGCCUUGUCAAUUGGUUCCCCCAGUCUGGAGAGCAAUCUGAG